This 445-nucleotide ribosomal RNA is filed under the name uncultured Pelotomaculum sp. RNAcentral's name for it is "bacterial SSU rRNA". It matches the Rfam family "Bacterial small subunit ribosomal RNA", at positions 938 to 1382 of the family's 1533-position model. Lineage: Bacteria; Bacillati; Bacillota; Clostridia; Eubacteriales; Desulfotomaculaceae. The record is from RNAcentral.
CAUGUGGUUUAAUUCGACGCAACGCGAAGACCUUACAGGGCUUGACAUCCCCUGACCGCGUAUGAAAGUACGUUUUCGACCCUCGGGUGACAGGGAGACAGGUGGUGCAUGGGUUGUCGUCAGCUCGUGUCGUGAGAUGUUGGGUUAAGUCCCGCAACGAGCGCAACCCCUACGUUUAGUUGCUAACAGGUGAAGCUGAGCACUCUAGACGAACUGCCGUUGACAAAACGGAGGAAGGUGGGAUGACGUCAAAUCAUCAUGCCCUUAUGUUCUGGGCUACACACAUGCUACAAUGGCCGGUACAGACGGAGGCGAAGCCGCGAGGCGGAGCAAAUCCGAAAAAGCCGGUCUCAGUUCGGAUUGCAGGCUGCAAUUCGCCUGCAUGAAGUCGGAAUCGCUAGUAAUCGCAGGUCAGCAUACUGCGGUGAAUACGUUCCCGGGCCUU